CGACCAAACUCCCCACUAUUCAUUCACAAACUAACCAAACCCACUAAUUAUCAAGUCAGACAACUGCUUCAGAUCUAUUCUUCGAUCACAAGUGCUCCUAACUGUCUAUGAAACAUUUGUUCCAAUAAAUUUGAUCGUCUUCGUCGAUCUCACUUCAUCAGAAUUGUGUAUUUAGAAAGGUGCCAUUUUCUGAAAAUUUUGAUUCUUCAAUCUCAUCCACGAACUGCGCACAACCAAGAAGACUCAACGCUAAGAAAAUGGUUGAGAUGGCAAGUGAUGCUAUUAACAAUCUUACCUUAAGAAAAUGAUACCCUUAUAUGAUCCAACAAAGAUGAGAAGGAGUACAGACCCAAACCACAUAAUUUUGAUGCAUUUACACAAGACUCCACAACAUACCUAUGAGCUUUCACAGAAGUUCAUUACAGACCAUACGCAGGUACUUCUGUACAUCAAUGCUUUAAUUAUCCAGCUAUUAAACUUACAACUGAUAAUGCAAAACAGUGCCUGCAUCUGUAUUUUUCGACAAAAAGGGUCUCUUAGUGCCAUUGGACCAGGACAUAUGCUUAAUGAGAUAUGUACAGAUUAGACCAAGGUCCAAAUCCAGUUAGCAUUUUUGUUAAAAAUUGCUUUAGUGGAUGGCUUGGCAUUGUUAGGAUCACUUGGGAAAUGUAGUGUUUGUGGAGCUACUUGAAACUGGUGGUGCAGUAACAAAGAGAAUGGAUUUGAAGCUGGAGAGGGUGAAGGAAACAAGUGACAUCGACACCCCUGUUUCUGAUGAAAUUGUAAAGGUCAAUAUCAGGUUCACUGAACAGUGUGAACACCCAUGAUUUUUAACGUCAGCGCAAACAAGCGGUCGCGGAUGUGACCCACUGCCCUUAAAUACGUUGUUUGUGCAUGACAAAACUGGACAGCACAAACAUUGCUCAAAGACAGAGGCUCACCAUGAUCACAUCCUAACUGCGCCUAUGUUUUUAUGUUGUUAAAUUAAUUCAAGUCCUUAUGGCUUAUGAAGAUGGACUGAUGAUCAAAGUGAAACCAUCAAGUCUAGAUGUACUUGACUUUUUGAUGGAUCUGAAGGGUUACACCAAGUUCUGAGAGGAAGAAGAUGCCAGCCAUUAAGAUGUCUAACAUAAUGGGUACCUUUCCUGUCUAAAUCUUAUAAUAGAAUUUUAAUUUGGAGUUAACUAAUUGAUAUUUUUGUAUCUGUUAUCAAUAAUUAUUUCAAUGAAAAAUAGUCUGC
Papaver somniferum (opium poppy) is the source of this 1240-nucleotide long non-coding RNA. RefSeq lists it as uncharacterized. NCBI's taxonomy places the organism in Eukaryota, Viridiplantae, Streptophyta, Magnoliopsida, Ranunculales, Papaveraceae. The record is from RefSeq and is a predicted model, not a curated record. The transcript is spliced from 3 exons.